UUUUUAGCUCUUUUGACUUCACACAUAGAAAUUUAUGGUGCAUUUCACAGUGCUCCCUGCUGUGGGCCUCAUCAGGUCCUGGCUGCCAGGCCACUAGGAAACAAGAAAUGAAUGCUGGAAAGCCCUGUGGCUGUUCUUAACUAAAGAACUGCAAACAUGACCAAAGUUCCCUGCAAAUCCUCCUAGAUUGUCAGAAGAAAAAUGGCAACAAGCUGUAGCCAUUCAAUGAAGCAAUAUUUUCCUUAUUACUUGUAAAGUCUUUUAUUUAGCUUCAACAGUAUCAUUUUUGAAAUGAUUUUGUGACUGGGGGCAAUACUUGGGUAGCCAUCUGUUCUCUCAGAUUAGCUGUCAGAUGAGUAGAGUGUUUUUAGUCAAUGUUUUCAAAUUACUUUAAAAUACCAACAAAUUCAAUAUUUGUUCAUGACACUAAUGAGGAAAAUUUUCAUGUUUUCAUCCCAAACAAAAAGUUGGAAUUUCCAAUCAUGUUAUGUUCUUUCCAUCAUCACUGGUGCAAAUGGGUAGUUUCUGACGUCUUUUAAAAAAGAAAGAAAAGGAAAAAAGAAAAUUGAAAGGUGGCCAAAAUGUCAAGAUGGAUUUGGUAUACCAGAGCUAUCUUUGCACUUACCAUUUUAAAAGUAAAUCUUUAAUUUGGGGAUUUCUGCCUACCUACCAUUACAAGCCCCUUCGGGGCAAUGAUCUAUCAAGUUCUGACUGUCUCAAACUGUUUGUGCCCAAUUCCACAUCGAUCAAGCACACUUGCUGCACCUUCAACCAGAGAGCCAAGAAACAAUAAUUUUCAAUUAAGAAACCAGAAGAAGACUUGGGGAUUUGAUUUAUGGUGCAUGACUAAUUAUCAAAUAGCCAGCCUAAUGAAAAUUAAGCUGCUGGUUACAACAAAGAUUUAACUUCAUUUUCUUGAAGAGAUACUGAUAUGAUCCAGAAUGUAAUUUAUUGAAGUAGUAUGAUGCAUUUUAAAAGUCAUAGACAUGUAAAUGAGAUAAUUAUCAUUUUUAAACGACAAGACUAAUUAUUUAUAUUAUGAUGAAUUUUAUAUUUAGAGUACAUAUACACCUGAAAUAAAGGAUUAUCUUUGCUUACCACAAUGAUUUUCACUUCCUUCUUAUGCUACUGGUAGAUUUAAAAAUGUUGCAUACAGUGUAAGGAUUGAAGAAUCUUUUUCAAAAAAAAGAAAGUUAAAAUUUAAUAGCUUUUUUUUUUUGAAAAUUCCUUGGUGAAAAUUAUUUAGAAUCAGUAAAUUAAUGAAAAUUUUAAAACCAUGUAAAAUAUGGUCAAGUGGAUGUAUAAGAUCAUAUGCAUAUUUUGUGUUAACUAUAGGUUUUGCUUGUAUUGUUAAAAACAGACUUACAAAUACAAAUGCCUAAAAUCAUAAAUAUGCUACAAUGUAAUUACAUUAAAUUAUCAUGUGUGAUGUUCUUUGCCACAUUAACGUUGGCCUUAUUUACAAGUAGUCAACUUUCCACACUAUUUUUCCUCUACCACACCUCACACGUUUUCCUGUGCAACCAUUACUGACUACCCAAACAAUCACAUUUAUUUCUUGCCAAUCUUCCUUCACUCACAUAGUAUAUUUAUAAACUUCCUCAAAGUCCACAUCUCCAAAUUCUGCUAUUUUUCAAUCCAAUCUUAGAUGUCACAUCCUCCAUGACAUGAGUAAAAAUUGUCCCUUCAUCUUUCCACCCCAUCCUGAAAGGGUAUCUUUCUUCUUUGAAAUCCCAUAGAUUCUCAUGGUCAUCAAUCAAAUUAGUGGUUCUCAGUCCUGAGUGCUAUGGUGAGGACAUGUAACAUUGUAUUUCUGAUUUGGGUGUUGAGUAAUGGGUGUUUUCAGGUCAUGAAAAUGUAUCAAGCUGCAUACUUAUGUGCAGUCUUCUAGAUGCAUACAUUAUAAGAAACAUUUACAAAUAUCAAUGCAGUGAUUCCAUCCCAUACCAAUUAACUCAGAAUCUCUGAAGAUGGAGGUUUGGGCAUUGGUAUUUUUUUUAAGUUCCCUACAUGACUAACAUUCAGCUAGCUGUUUAGAACCACUAACCUAGACAGUGUCUUAAGAAGUUUCUCUUCCUUUCCCAAGGAGUAGUUCCCACUGAGAUAACCACAAAUGAAUGGGCAACCAAAACUGUAGGACUCCUAACAAUAUACAUUUUACAAAAGUGUUUAUGUUUGACCAUUUCCCAGGUAAUGUACUUAUGCAUUAUAAUCACUAUAUGUUUCAGAGUUGGAACUAUUCUUGGAAAUACUCAUUUCUAAAAUGUCAUCAUUUCAAUGGGGUUGAUAUUAUUGUAGUAUUUCUAAUUUUAUACAUCUUAUUAUGGCCUUAUAGAAAUAACAUCCUCCCCUCUGACAUGUGCUUCUUUUGAUCAGGAAUGGUUCACUUUUUUAAAUAAAUAUUCAUCAUACUAUUAUUUCAACACUGGUCAACAAUUUAAAAGAAAAGUGAGAGGGAGAAAGAAUCAGGUAAGAAAAAGACUAGUUUUGUGUCUUUAUGUUUAAUUAUGUCAUUUAAGAUGGUAAAGGUAUGAAAAAUAAUUUUUUAACUGUAUAAAUCAUGAGAUUUCAAUGAUCAGAAAGUCCUUUUGAAAUAGCUCAUCUUUGGUAAAACUUAUUUUUCAGCUAUCCUCUAUAUUGCCCUUAAAUUUAUUCAUACAGGUAGUAUUAAUAUGUUUCUGUUGGAAUAAAGCACUUAAUGACAACCCUCCAAUAUGUUCACAUUCCACCAUAUGUCAAGAUCUGUCUUUCUAAAGUAGGAAUCAAAUCCCACCUCUACCCUAUUUCACAAUCUUUACCAUGGACCAAUCUUCUUGGUACUCAAAUUGAGAUUUGGGGGCUGCAGCAUGGCUGGGAGCCUAUUCGGAAAGGUGAAAUUUCAGGCCUCACCUCAGAACCAUUGAGUCAAAAUUUGCAUUUUAUUAUUAUUUUUUAAAGAUUUUACUUAUUAAUUUGAGAGAGAGAGAGGCAGGAGAGAGGGAGAGAGAGUAUGAGGGGGAGAAAUGGCAGAGGGAGAGGGACAGUGAGAAGCAGAUUCCACACUGAUCAAGAGGCCUGACUCCAGGAUCCUGGGAUCUUGACCUGAGGCGAAGGCAGAUGCUUUCAGACUGAGCCACUCAAGUGCCCUCAUAAUCUGCAUCAUAAUAAGAUUUCCAAAGAGCACACCCAAAUUUAGAAGCACUUUUCUUAACCUUUAUCUGUCUACCAUCUUCUAUCAUCCUCUUCCAGCUAAUCCUUCAUAUUCAAUUUACUUCCCUAGCUAUGCUGGCUGAUUUAGAGUUCCUGGAAGAAACCAGCAUUUUCUUGUAUUUGCUUGUGUUGUUUACUCUGUCUGGGCUGUGUUCCCAUUAGAAUCACCUGGUAACUCAUCUGGUGAAUUCCUCAAUUCAGCUUAUUCUCCUCCUUUUUGAAGAAAGACCUGCCUAACUCUUCAAGUGCAGUUAGGGUCUUUUUCUUCUUAUUUACAAGACUCCAAUUUAAGAGUUAUCAAACUAUUAUAAAGUGUCUGCCUUUCUUCUUUUCUUUAGACUGGACUCCUUUAGAGCAGGAAUUGCAUCGUGUUAAAUCCUACAGUGCUAUCUAACAAUGUUUUAGACAUGAAAAAAUAAGUCAGUAAAUGCUUUAUGAGUGUUAGACAAAAGGCCUAGUUAAGGUCAUUUUUGAGGACAAAGUGUCGCAAAUGUUCCUUUUAUAAAGGUGUACUUGAAAAUCACACAUUUAAAAGCACUUUAUUGUAAUUAUUUGAUUCUUCUAUUUGUGGUGGAAUAAGACUUACAUAGAUUUAUAGAGUUAGGAUGUCUUGGGAUAUAAUCUAAUCUUAUAUUCAUUCUCAAAGAAGAUGAUCCAAGGUGAUUAAUUAAUUUCUCCUAUAACCAAAAAAAAAAAAAAAAAAA
This 3893-nucleotide long non-coding RNA is filed under the name Canis lupus familiaris (dog). Its description in RNAcentral is "lncRNA (ENSCAFG00000054394.1, ENSCAFG00845022027.1)". Lineage: Eukaryota; Metazoa; Chordata; Mammalia; Carnivora; Canidae. The record is from RNAcentral.